RNAcentral lists this transfer RNA (62 nucleotides) under Vibrio harveyi. RNAcentral describes it as "partial tRNA-Ser". It matches the Rfam family "tRNA", at positions 15 to 71 of the family's 71-position model. Rfam says of the family: Transfer RNA (tRNA) molecules are approximately 80 nucleotides in length. Their secondary structure includes four short double-helical elements and three loops (D, anti-codon, and T loops). The record is from RNAcentral. RNAcentral also lists the same sequence under 7 other names. Lineage: Bacteria; Pseudomonadati; Pseudomonadota; Gammaproteobacteria; Vibrionales; Vibrionaceae.
GUUGGUAGAGCGCAACCUUGCCAAGGUUGAGGUCACGAGUUCGAACCUCGUGUGUCGCUCCA